ACGGAAUUUGGAUCAUGCCAUCUCUUUGGAUUUCUCCUGCAGUGUAGCUUUUCUUGUUUCGCCAUUGUCGCCGCCGUGCCGGAGAUUCACCGGACCCCCCCUUCUUCCGUUUAUAUCAUGGGUCAAAGACGAGACGUGGUAAAAUCGCCUAAAUAAGCAAAUCCCUUAUUUGUGGGAUUAAGCUCGUGGACUAGCAAGUCAACUGAGUGGAGCAGUGUGUUUUCGUGGCGGUUUGGUCUGAGAAAUGUCCCCAAAUGGAUGCAUUCGUUGCCGGUAGAUCCACGGCGGCAUUCCGAUAAACAGGAUCAUCUUCGGCCUCUAACCAUUUUUGCAACUGGGUACGGUGCGUUAAUGGCGUUUUUGGUGCUGUUCAUGUGGGCAAUUACGAGGAAUAGAAAUGCCAUCUUUGGAGCCAAGCCCCAAAGUUCGGAUUUUCAGUACGAAAGGGUUAGCGUAGUUGUAGCGGAGGGAUUCAAAGAUGUUACCACGAGAGGAUGAAGGUUUUUGGGAGAUUGUUAUCCAGUUCAUGGAACGGAAGGUGCCCCUGCCUGCAGCUAUCCAAAAAUUAGCUGCAUUGAUUCAUACUUGAGAAUGCGUUCAGAAAUGAAAAACUUUAAAACAUUGAAAUU
Cucurbita moschata (crookneck pumpkin) is the source of this 629-nucleotide long non-coding RNA. RefSeq lists it as uncharacterized. The transcript is spliced from 2 exons. The record is from RefSeq and is a predicted model, not a curated record. NCBI's taxonomy places the organism in Eukaryota, Viridiplantae, Streptophyta, Magnoliopsida, Cucurbitales, Cucurbitaceae.